UCCUAAUCACCAGUCCCACCUUCGACGGCUCCCCCACAACGGUUAGGCCACCGGCUUCGGGUGUUACCAACUUUCAUGACUUGACGGGCGGUGUGUACAAGCCCCGGGAACGUAUUCACCGCAGCGUUGCUGAUCUGCGAUUACUAGCGACUCCGACUUCAUGAGGUCGAGUUGCAGACCCCAAUCCGAACUGAGACCGGCUUUCCGAGAUUCGCUCACCCUCACAGGCUCGCCACUCUCUGUACCAGCCAUUGUAGCAUGCGUGAAGCCCUGGACAUAAGGGGCAUGAUGACUUGACGUCAUCCCCACCUUCCUCCGAGUUGACCCCGGCGGUCUCCACUGAGUCCCCACCAUAACGUGCUGGCAACAGUGAACAAGGGUUGCGCUCGUUGCGGGACUUAACCCAACAUCUCACGACACGAGCUGACGACAGCCAUGCACCACCUGUGAACCGACCCCAAAAGAGGCACACCCAUCUCUGAGCACUCCCGAUCCAUGUCAAACCCAGGUAAGGUUCUACGCGUUGCAUCGAAUUAAUCCGCAUGCUCCGCCGCUUGUGCGGGGCCCCGUCAAUUCCUUUGAGUUUUAGCCUUGCGGCCGUACUCCCCAGGCGGGGUACUUAAAGCGUUAGCUACGGCACGGAACCCGUGGAAUGGACCCCACACCUAGUACCCACCGUUUACAGCGUGGACUACCAGGGUAUCUAAGCCUGUUCGCUCCCCACGCUUUCGCUCCUCAGCGUCAGGAAAGGCCCAGAGAACCGCCUUCGCCACUGGUGUUCCUCCUGAUAUCUGCGCAUUCCACCGCUCCACCAGGAAUUCCAUUCUCCCCUACCUUCCUCAAGUCAACCCGUAUCGAAAGCACGCUCAGGGUUAAGCCCCAAGAUUACACUUCCGACGCGAUCAACCACCUACGAGCCCUUUACGCCCAAUAAAUCCGGACAACGCUCGCACCCUACGUAUCACCGCGGCUGCUGGCACGUAGUUAGCCGGUGCUUCUUUACCCAUUACCGUCACUCACGCUUCGUCACAGGCGAAAGCGGUUUACAACCCGAAGGCCGUCAUCCCGCACGCGGCGUUGCUGCAUCAGGCUUCCGCCCAUUGUGCAAUAUUCCCCACUGCUGCCUCCCGUAGGAGUCUGGGCCGUAUCUCAGUCCCAAUGUGGCCGGUCACCCUCUCAGGCCGGCUACCCGUCAAAGCCUUGGUAAGCCACUACCCCACCAACAAGCUGAUAAGCCGCGAGUCCAUCCCCAACCGCCGAAACUUUCCAACCCCCACCAUGCAGCAGGAGCUCCUAUCCGGUAUUAGCCCCAGUUUCCUGAAGUUAUCCCAAAGUCAAGGGCAGGUUACUCACGUGUUACUCACCCGUUCGCCACUCGAGCACCCCACAAAAGCAGGGCCUUUCCGUUCGACUUGCAUGUGUUAAGCACGCCGCCAG
RNAcentral lists this ribosomal RNA (1437 nucleotides) under uncultured organism. RNAcentral describes it as "partial small subunit ribosomal RNA". The record is from RNAcentral.